RNAcentral lists this transfer RNA (63 nucleotides) under Dipodomys ordii (Ord's kangaroo rat). The record is from Rfam by way of RNAcentral. Lineage: Eukaryota; Metazoa; Chordata; Mammalia; Rodentia; Heteromyidae.
GGUGCUGUGGCUCAAAGUGGUAGAGCAUUUGCCUUGAGCACAAAGAACUUAGGGACAGUACCU